AACAUUGGACCCUAAACAGAACCAAUGAUAAACCUGUGAGCUCACAAGCACACUUCUGGAGAACCUGGCUACCAGAGAAGUGUUACUUCCAAGCUGUAAAAUCACUCAGCAAUGCUGCUUGCCUGACAGAGGAAUGGAACAACUUGCUGAAGGAGUAGCAGAAACACUGACUUGGAGGUGAUGACUUGCAAGAAAAGAGAGUCAUCCUCCAAGAUGUCAGGUGCUGAAGUAUUUAUCUCAGGCCACUCUUAGCUGCCAGUCCUCCUUACGAAUUACCUAAAGCUAAGACAAUUUUUUCAUCCAAGGUCACACUCCCUUGUUGGGGAAGCCCACAUCCAAUUACUGGUCAGUGUGGGAGUGUAAAAGCUGGUUCUUUCCCUUCAAUGUGGUACAAUGUGAGGGGCCAUCUUUGCUUCAGCUCUUCAUUGGCUGAGACUUUCAUGGAGAUGACGUUGUAACCCAGUUUGUGUCCAAUCCUGC
Molecule: long non-coding RNA, 480 nt
Filed under: Pongo abelii (Sumatran orangutan)
Lineage: Eukaryota; Metazoa; Chordata; Mammalia; Primates; Hominidae
Description: lincRNA
Source: RNAcentral